UACGGAGGGGGCAAGCGUUAUCCGGAUUUACUGGGUGUAAAGGGAGCGCAGGCGGCGUGGCAAGUCAGAUGUGAAAACCCGGGGCCCAACCCCGGGAGUGCAUUUGAAACUGCCAUGCUGGAGUGCCGGAGGGGCAGGCGGAAUUCCUAGUGUAGCGGUGAAAUGCGUAGAUAUUAGGAGGAACACCGGUGGCGAAGGCGGCCUGCUGGACGACGACUGACGCUGAGGCUCGAAAGCGUGGGGAGCAAACAGG
Molecule: ribosomal RNA, 253 nt
Filed under: uncultured Eubacteriales bacterium
Lineage: Bacteria; Bacillati; Bacillota; Clostridia; Eubacteriales
Description: uncultured Clostridiales bacterium partial 16S ribosomal RNA
Rfam family: Bacterial small subunit ribosomal RNA
Source: RNAcentral